UACUCAAGGUUUUCCUUCAACACGUAAAUAUCUUUCGCCUUUUACUAAAGAUAUCCGUGGAGGGGAACCGCUAUUGAGCUAAUCGAAUUUUUCUCAGUCCUGCGUCAGCGGGACU
RNAcentral lists this small nuclear RNA (115 nucleotides) under Branchiostoma floridae (Florida lancelet). Its description in RNAcentral is "U5 spliceosomal RNA". It matches the Rfam family "U5 spliceosomal RNA". From Rfam's summary of the family: U5 RNA is a component of both types of known spliceosome. The precise function of this molecule is unknown, though it is known that the 5' loop is required for splice site selection and p220 binding, and that both the 3' stem-loop and the Sm site are important for Sm protein binding and cap methylation. The record is from Rfam by way of RNAcentral. Lineage: Eukaryota; Metazoa; Chordata; Leptocardii; Amphioxiformes; Branchiostomatidae.